AGGUCAGUGGGACUAACAUGGCUCCCUCUGGUGCAAAUGAAGUCAGCAAGCUUCAACUCUCGUUCUUCUCUAUCCACAAGGACCUGUAUGUAAUCCCUCUCAUCUCAGAGUAUGUGUGCAGUGGGAGAUGAUGGAACGAACAGUCUGGCCCCAUUGGAGUGAGGAGGCAUCUCUUAUCCAUUUCUACUUGUCUGCCCUGCUUCUGGUGCCUUGGACUACUUAAGAAUAGCCUGUGGAUGAAGCUAACAACCAAGUAACGUAGAGGAGAUGAUGCAUCAAAGAGUCCGGUACUUGUAUCACCAUUUAUUCCCUCAAUCAACCCGUAUUGAAACCUGCCUUAGUCUGAGUUUCCUGUUCCAGGCAAUAAUAAAUGACCUGUCAUUUAAACCAGC
Molecule: long non-coding RNA, 392 nt
Organism: Mastomys coucha (southern multimammate mouse)
Lineage: Eukaryota; Metazoa; Chordata; Mammalia; Rodentia; Muridae
Exons: 2
Source: RefSeq, a predicted model, not a curated record